This 425-nucleotide ribosomal RNA is filed under the name uncultured bacterium. RNAcentral's name for it is "partial 16S ribosomal RNA". It matches the Rfam family "Bacterial small subunit ribosomal RNA", at positions 354 to 796 of the family's 1533-position model. The record is from RNAcentral.
GUGGGGAAUCUUGCGCAAUGGGCGAAAGCCUGACGCAGCCAUGCCGCGUGAAUGAUGAAGGUCUUAGGAUUGUAAAAUUCUUUCACCGGGGACGAUAAUGACGGUACCCGGAGAAGAAGCCCCGGCUAACUUCGUGCCAGCAGCCGCGGUAAUACGAAGGGGGCUAGCGUUGCUCGGAAUUACUGGGCGUAAAGGGCGCGUAGGCGGACAGUUUAGUCAGAGGUGAAAGCCCAGGGCUCAACCUUGGAAUUGCCUUUGAUACUGGCUGUCUUGAGUACGGGAGAGGUGAGUUGAACUCCGAGUGUAGAGGUGAAAUUCGUAGAUAUUCGGAAGAACACCAGUGGCGAAGGCGACUCACUGGCCCGUUACUGACGCUGAGGCGCGAAAGCGUGGGGAGCAAACAGGAUUAGAUACCCGUGUAGUCC